This is a long non-coding RNA of Aedes aegypti (yellow fever mosquito), 296 nucleotides long. RefSeq lists it as uncharacterized. The record is from RefSeq and is a predicted model, not a curated record. The transcript has 2 exons. Lineage: Eukaryota; Metazoa; Arthropoda; Insecta; Diptera; Culicidae.
GUUCCUUACGAGGUUUUCCGUUGGUGCGUGGUGCUUUGCUUUGCUUUGUGGAAUCUAUUUUUCCUACGAAGUGAAAAAAGUGAUAAGAAGGAAUUCCUCUUCCAAAUAUUCGUCCGGGAUUUGCUGCAAGAGUUUCGCCAGGGAUUUGCUCCAGGAAUCCCUUCGGAUUCUGAAGUCGAACUUUUCUAUCAUGGAUUGGUAUGAUGAAAUAGUUGACAGUGCAAUAGCAUUCUCUCCUUUCCUAAUGGACAAUGAAGACGAUGACGUGAUGAUCAAUUUACUGAUGGAAAAUUCAG